This 350-nucleotide ribosomal RNA is filed under the name uncultured Geodermatophilaceae bacterium. RNAcentral describes it as "bacterial SSU rRNA". It matches the Rfam family "Bacterial small subunit ribosomal RNA", at positions 790 to 1140 of the family's 1533-position model. Lineage: Bacteria; Bacillati; Actinomycetota; Actinomycetes; Geodermatophilales; Geodermatophilaceae. The record is from RNAcentral.
GUAGUCCACGCCGUAAACGUUGGGCGCUAGGUGUGGGGGCCAUUCCACGGUCUCCGUGCCGCAGCUAACGCAUUAAGCGCCCCGCCUGGGGAGUACGGCCGCAAGGCUAAAACUCAAAGGAAUUGACGGGGGCCCGCACAAGCGGCGGAGCAUGUUGCUUAAUUCGAUGCAACGCGAAGAACCUUACCUAGGCUUGACAUGUGCGGAAAUCUGUCAGAGAUGGCAGGUCCGUAAGGGUCGCACACAGGUGGUGCAUGGUUGUCGUCAGCUCGUGUCGUGAGAUGUUGGGUUAAGUCCCGCAACGAGCGCAACCCUCGUUCUAUGUUGCCAGCACGUGAUGGUGGGGACUC